GAAGCUGGAAUCGCUAGUAAUCGCGGAUCAGAAUGCCGCGGUGAAUACGUUCCCGGGUCUUGUACACACCGCCCGUCACACCAUGGGAGUCGGAAAUGCCCGAAGUCUGUGACCUAACCGCAAGGGAGGAGCAGCCGAAGGCAGGUCGGAUGACUGGGGUGAAGUCGUAACAAGGUAGC
This 179-nucleotide ribosomal RNA is filed under the name uncultured bacterium. RNAcentral describes it as "partial 16S ribosomal RNA". It matches the Rfam family "Bacterial small subunit ribosomal RNA", at positions 1322 to 1500 of the family's 1533-position model. The record is from RNAcentral.